GGCGAUAGUGGAGAGAGAGAGGCAGCCCGAAUAGCGGCAAAGACGAUGCAAGGCAGAGGGAGGGGAUACUGAGCAGCGAAGCCGCAAAAGGCAGCGAUGGAGGAGGAAAGGCGAAGAGGAGAUCAGAUCUUGACGGAGAGGGAGAGAAAGUCGAGAGCAGGAGAGGAGGGAGGGCUCGAUAACGUCAAAGAGAUCGGAAUUUCGAUGGAGGGAUCUCGAUGGAGAGGGAGAGC
Molecule: long non-coding RNA, 233 nt
Filed under: Elaeis guineensis (African oil palm)
Lineage: Eukaryota; Viridiplantae; Streptophyta; Magnoliopsida; Arecales; Arecaceae
Description: long non-coding RNA (EGUI_LNC002161)
Source: RNAcentral